Molecule: ribosomal RNA, 229 nt
Filed under: uncultured bacterium
Lineage: Bacteria
Description: partial 16S ribosomal RNA
Rfam family: Bacterial small subunit ribosomal RNA
Source: RNAcentral
CUGGUGAGUAACACGUGGGAAUCUGUCUCUUAGUGUGGGAUAUUCCUGGGAAACCGGGCGCAAUACCACAUGUGUUUCAUAGAAACAAAGAUGGCUUUAUGCUGUCGCUAAGAGGUGAGCCUGCGUACUAUUAGCUAGUUGGUGGGGUAAAGGCCUACCAAGGCGAUGAUGGUUAGCCGACCUGAGAGGGUGAUCGGCCACAUUGGGAUUGAGAUACGGCCCUGACUUC